UGGGGAAUAUUGCACAAUGGGGGAAACCCUGAUGCAGCGACGCCGCGUGAGUGAUGAAGUAUUUCGGUAUGUAAAGCUCUAUCAGCAGGGAAGAAAAUGACGGUACCUGACUAAGAAGCCCCGGCUAACUACGUGCC
RNAcentral lists this ribosomal RNA (137 nucleotides) under uncultured bacterium. Its description in RNAcentral is "partial 16S ribosomal RNA". It matches the Rfam family "Bacterial small subunit ribosomal RNA", at positions 355 to 509 of the family's 1533-position model. The record is from RNAcentral.